UACGUAGGGGGCAAGCGUUGUUCGGAAUUACUGGGCGUAAAGGGCGCGUAGGCGGUACGACAAGUCAGGAGUGAAAGCCCGGGGCUCAACCCCGGAACUGCUUUUGAAACUGUCGAACUAGAGUGCAGAAGAGGCAACCGGAAUUCCCAGUGUAGCGGUGAAAUGCGUAGAUAUUGGGAAGAACACCUGAGGCGAAGGCGGGUUGCUGGGCUGACACUGACGCUGAGGCGCGAAAGCCAGGGGAGCGAACGGG
This 253-nucleotide ribosomal RNA is filed under the name uncultured bacterium. Its description in RNAcentral is "partial 16S ribosomal RNA". It matches the Rfam family "Bacterial small subunit ribosomal RNA", at positions 524 to 776 of the family's 1533-position model. The record is from RNAcentral.